CCUACGGGAGGCAGCAGUGAGGAAUAUUGGUCAAUGGGCGCAAGCCUGAACCAGCCAAGCCGCGUGAGGGAUGAAGGCUCUAUGUGUCGCAAACUUCUUUUGCCGGGGAAUAAAAUGCCGUACGUGUCCUGCUCUGCGUGUACCCUGUGAAUAAGGAUCGGCUAACUCCGUGCCAGCAGCCGCGGUAAUCCGGAGGGUCCGAGCGUUAUCCGGAUUUAUUGGGUUUAAAGGGUGCGCAGGCGGGCCUUUAAGCCCGGUGUGAAAUCUGAGGGCUCAACCGUGGAAGUGCGGUGGAAACUGGGGGCCUGGAGGGCGGCAGAGGUAGGCGGAAUGCGUGGUGUAGCGGUGAAAUGCAUAGAUAUCGCGAAGAACACCGAUUGCGAAGGCAGCGUGCUGGACUGUAACUGACGCUGAGGCACGAAAGCGUGGGGAUCGAACAGGAUUAGAUACCCCAGUAGUC
This 460-nucleotide ribosomal RNA is filed under the name uncultured bacterium. RNAcentral describes it as "partial 16S ribosomal RNA". It matches the Rfam family "Bacterial small subunit ribosomal RNA", at positions 338 to 795 of the family's 1533-position model. The record is from RNAcentral.